CUACGUGCCAGCAGCCGCGGUAAUACGGAGGGUGCGAGCGUUAAUCGGAAUUACUGGGCGUAAAGCGCACGCAGGCGGUCUGUCAAGUCGGAUGUGAAAUCCCCGGGCUCAACCUGGGAACUGCAUUCGAAACUGGCAGGCUAGAGUCUUGUAGAGGGGGGUAGAAUUCCAGGUGUAGCGGUGAAAUGCGUAGAGAUCUGGAGGAAUACCGGUGGCGAAGGCGGCCCCCUGGACAAAGACUGACGCUCAGGUGCGAAAGCGUGGGGAGCAAACAGGAUUAGAUACCCUGGUAGUCCACGCUGUAAACGAUGUCGACUUGGAGGUUGUGCCCUUGAGGCGUGGCUUCCGGAGCUAACGCGUUAAGUCGACCGCCUGGGGAGUACGGCCGCAAGGUUAAAACUCAAAUGAAUUGACGGGGGCCCGCACAAGCGGUGGAGCAUGUGGUUUAAUUCGAUGCAACGCGAAGAACCUUACCUACUCUUGACAUCCAGAGAAUUCGCUAGAGAUAG
Molecule: ribosomal RNA, 509 nt
Filed under: uncultured bacterium
Lineage: Bacteria
Description: bacterial SSU rRNA
Rfam family: Bacterial small subunit ribosomal RNA
Source: RNAcentral